GUUAAUUGUGUGCUAAUUACUUCGCAUGUGUGGCCAGUCCAAAUUUGCUGCACAAUUAACCAGUUAAUUGCAUGAUAUAUAUUUUGUACAUGUG
This is a long non-coding RNA of Gavialis gangeticus (Gharial), 94 nucleotides long. RefSeq lists it as uncharacterized. The transcript is spliced from 3 exons. The record is from RefSeq and is a predicted model, not a curated record. Lineage: Eukaryota; Metazoa; Chordata; Crocodylia; Gavialidae.